This 490-nucleotide ribosomal RNA is filed under the name uncultured bacterium. Its description in RNAcentral is "bacterial SSU rRNA". It matches the Rfam family "Bacterial small subunit ribosomal RNA", at positions 501 to 992 of the family's 1533-position model. The record is from RNAcentral.
CUACGUGCCAGCAGCCGCGGUAAUACGUAGGGUGCGAGCGUUAAUCGGAAUUACUGGGCGUAAAGCGUGCGCAGGCGGUUUGUUAAGACCGAUGUGAAAUCCCCGGGCUCAACCUGGGAACUGCAUUGGUGACUGGCAAGCUAGAGUAUGGCAGAGGGGGGUAGAAUUCCACGUGUAGCAGUGAAAUGCGUAGAGAUGUGGAGGAAUACCGAUGGCGAAGGCAGCCCCCUGGGCCAAUACUGACGCUCAUGCACGAAAGCGUGGGGAGCAAACAGGAUUAGAUACCCUGGUAGUCCACGCCCUAAACGAUGUCAACUAGUUGUUGGGGAUUCAUUUCCUUAGUAACGUAGCUAACGCGUGAAGUUGACCGCCUGGGGAGUACGGUCGCAAGAUUAAAACUCAAAGGAAUUGACGGGGACCCGCACAAGCGGUGGAUGAUGGGAUUAAUUCGAUGCAACGCGAAAAACCUUACCUACCCUUGACAUGGUCG